GACAGAGGCCCCAAGCGUUAGGCGGAAUCACUGGGCUUAAAGCGUGCGUAGGCGGAUCGUUAAGUGUCUUGUGAAAUCCCACGGCUCACCCGUGGAACUGCUGGGCAUACUGGCGAUCUUGGGCCAACUAGGGGCAGCCGGAACAAGCGGUGGAGCGGUGAAAUGCGUAGAUAUCGCUUGGAACGCCGAAGGUGAAAACAGGCUGCUGGGGUUGUGCCGACGCUGAGACACGAAAGCCAGGGGAGCAAACGGG
Molecule: ribosomal RNA, 253 nt
Filed under: uncultured bacterium
Lineage: Bacteria
Description: partial 16S ribosomal RNA
Rfam family: Bacterial small subunit ribosomal RNA
Source: RNAcentral